Molecule: long non-coding RNA, 216 nt
Organism: Solanum dulcamara
Lineage: Eukaryota; Viridiplantae; Streptophyta; Magnoliopsida; Solanales; Solanaceae
Exons: 3
Source: RefSeq, a predicted model, not a curated record
ACGUUUAGGGAGGAGCCAAAAAUUUGACUAUAUUCAAGUGCUACUCCCACAAUUAGAAGAAGAAGAUACGUCUGAGAUAUGCAACAAGUGCAAUAAUCAAGCCAAUGAAGUAUCUCAAGUUGCAUAACAUAUUACACACCAACAUUAUAACAUGUACAUUUGGAGAAGUUUCUCCUAGUAUAUCACAAGGUUGAAAAUUAAAUACGGAUCUUGAAA